This 802-nucleotide long non-coding RNA is filed under the name Nicotiana benthamiana. Its description in RNAcentral is "long non-coding RNA (NBEN_LNC016841)". The record is from RNAcentral. Lineage: Eukaryota; Viridiplantae; Streptophyta; Magnoliopsida; Solanales; Solanaceae.
UUUAUUUUUUUUGUUCUUCUUCAUUUUUCAUUCUCCUAAACUAACCCAUCACCUUACCCACUGUCUAGACCCACCUUCUCCACUCUUCAUUUUUCUUCAAGUCUCCCGUUAUCCCUGCACGCCCCUUGUUUUCCCUCAUAAAAUUUCUCCCUAAAAAUUAAGCAAAUUCCAAUAAUAAAGCUUUAAUUAUUUAUGAAUUUUUGAAGGUGGAGAGAGACGUUGGGUUUGAAGAGUGGUACUUAUGAAAAGGUAAAUCUAUGAAAUUAAAGGAAUUUAGCAGAAAGGACAAAUAUUUCGACAGUCAAUAUGGACCUUUUCUUGUUGAAAGAAGAUUUAAAUUAUUAUUUCGGGAUUUUUUCUAUGAUGGAAGAAAGAUGAUUCUAAUGGAGGUGAGGAAUUGGGGGAUGAUGUUGCAUUGGUAGUAGAAACUUUCACGUGGUUAAUUUUUGGUUGAAGAAUGGUGGUCGGAGAUGGAAGGAAGGCAGCCAUGGUGGUCGGAGCCAUGGUGCUGGAUUUGAUGAAAAGAUAGGGGUCUAAUUGUAAAAUUAAGUGUUUUCUUUAAUUUUUUUUAGUUAAUGACAAGUGUAACUAUUUCGUUGGUGCGUGCUAUUACAUAUAUUUUGGAAAACUAGGCAAGAAAAAAAAUGUAUUUUAGCUACAUACUAAAAAGGUCGAGUAUGUAAAAUGAUUUUCGUGGUGAGAAAGAGUAUAACAGAGAUUUGGUCCACAAUUUAGCGAGUAACUUAUGUUUUUUGCCUAUUUUUUGUAUAUAAUUUAACUGGGUUUUCCAAAUUUUAAAUAA